UAGAAACAUUUGGGGUGCUUUAUGCUGAGAUUAUACCCAUGGAACCUGAUACAGUUAGAACUGGCGCAGGGAAAUGUAGUUGUAAACGA
This 89-nucleotide non-coding RNA is filed under the name Marinilactibacillus sp. 15R. RNAcentral describes it as "TPP riboswitch aptamer (THI element)". It matches the Rfam family "TPP riboswitch aptamer (THI element)". From Rfam's summary of the family: Vitamin B(1) in its active form thiamin pyrophosphate (TPP) is an essential coenzyme that is synthesised by coupling of pyrimidine and thiazole moieties in bacteria. The previously detected thiamin-regulatory element, thi box was extended, resulting in a new, highly conserved RNA secondary structure, the THI element, which is widely distributed in eubacteria and also occurs in some archaea. The record is from Rfam by way of RNAcentral. Lineage: Bacteria; Bacillati; Bacillota; Bacilli; Lactobacillales; Carnobacteriaceae. RNAcentral also lists the same sequence under 1 other name.